Molecule: long non-coding RNA, 1008 nt
Filed under: Numida meleagris (helmeted guineafowl)
Lineage: Eukaryota; Metazoa; Chordata; Aves; Galliformes; Numididae
Description: lncRNA (ENSNMEG00000022681.1)
Source: RNAcentral
AUGACUUUGCCCAAGGAAAAAAAAAACUAUCAAGCAGCGCUUCCCAGGCCCGGUAACAACAACUCCUCCUCCCACCCAUCACCCCCAGCUCUGCAAACCUGGGCUGAGCCCCGUGCAUGGGGAGCACCGCUCGGGGUGGGCAGGUGGGGGUGCCCGGGGCUGCAGGGACAGAGCUGGUGGUAUUUGGGGCAAAUCUGGGCAGAAAACUGGGUUUUCUUCCGCUUUCCUUUCGGCAGCAGUUUCCCACUGCGCUUCAGUGGGUGGUGGGGAGCUCUGGGGGCGGUGGCGGGGGACACUGUCACGCUGUCCCCUCGGUGUCUCCACGGUGUCCCCACGGUGUCCCCGGGCUGCCUGCCCUGCGGGACCCACUUGUCAUUCUGCCCUUGUCCUGUGCGGUGGCGAAGCAGCGCCCGGGCCUGCAGCCACGCGUUAUGCAUCAUGCAUUAUGCAUGGUGCACGCAGCGGCGGGGAGUGCAACGCACCCCGAGCAGUACGCCCUGCACCCUGGCCUGCUGUCACCCCGUGCGUGCACUGUCACCCUGCAGCCUGAGCUGCGUCACCCGCUGUUUGCACAAGGGAUGCUUUUGCACUGAGGGAGAUCUGCGCACUGGCGAUGAGCAUUUGCACGAGGGUCUUGCAUUUGCGCAAGGGAAUUGCUUUUACACGAGGGAACUGCUUUUGCCCUCAGGAGGAUGUGCACAUAGGGACACGUGGGGACACAGGGACCUCUCCUGUUGCUCUGCCAGCAGCUGCUGUCCCCUCACUGUCCCCGGUGCUCAUCCAUCACCGACACCACUGCGUGGCACAGAGCUGCCGCUGCAUCCACGCGUCCCCUUUGCUUUUUGUAGGGUUAUAUUCGAGGGGGAGCAGGGCAGAGGCAUAGCACCCAAAGCCACCUACACCCCUGCUGAGACCUGGAGAGCUCAGUGCAUCUCAGCUGGGCCUUGUUGGGGGUUCAUGGGGAAGGGGCUGAGGGAGUGGGGGCAGGGAGAGCUGAGAGCCCCAUGA